AGCGAACGCUGGCGGCAGGCCUAACACAUGCAAGUCGAACGAACCUUUCGGGGUUAGUGGCGGACGGGUGAGUAACACGUGGGAACGUGCCUUUAGGUUCGGAAUAACUCAGGGAAACUUGUGCUAAUACCGAAUGUGCCCUUCGGGGGAAAGAUUUAUCGCCUUUAGAUCGGCCCGCGUCUGAUUAGCUAGUUGGUUGAGGUAAUGGCUCACCAAGGCGACGAUCAGGAGCUGGUCUGAGAGGAUGAUCAGCCACAUUGGGACUGAGACACGGCCCAAACUCCUACGGGAAGCAGCAGUGGGGAAUCUUGCGCAAUGAGCGAAAGCCUGACGCAGCCAUGCCGCGUGAAUGAUGAAGGUCUUAGGAUUGUAAAAUUCUUUCACCGGGGACGAUAAUGACGGUACCCGGAGAAGAAGCCCCGGCUAACUUCGUG
RNAcentral lists this ribosomal RNA (434 nucleotides) under uncultured bacterium. Its description in RNAcentral is "partial 16S ribosomal RNA". It matches the Rfam family "Bacterial small subunit ribosomal RNA", at positions 29 to 507 of the family's 1533-position model. The record is from RNAcentral.